AGAACGAACGCUGGCGGCAUGCCUAAUACAUGCAAGUCGAACGAGAUCUUCGGAUCUAGUGGCGCACGGGUGCGUAACGCGUGGGAAUCUACCCUUGGGUUCGGAAUAACAGUUGGAAACGACUGCUAAUACCGGAUGAUGACGAAAGUCCAAAGAUUUAUCGCCCAGGGAUGAGCCCGCGUAGGAUUAGCUAGUUGGUGAGGUAAAGGCUCACCAAGGCUACGAUCCUUAGCUGGUCUGAGAGGAUGAUCAGCCACACUGGGACUGAGACACGGCCCAGACUCCUACGGGAGGCAGCAGUAGGGAAUAUUGGACAAUGGGGGCAACCCUGAUCCAGCUAUGCCGCGUGAGUGAUGAAGGCCUUAGGUGUAAAGCUCUUUACCCGAGAUGAUAAUGACAGUAGUCGGAGAAUAAGCUACCGGCUAACUCCGUGCCAGCAGCCG
RNAcentral lists this ribosomal RNA (443 nucleotides) under uncultured soil bacterium. RNAcentral's name for it is "bacterial SSU rRNA". It matches the Rfam family "Bacterial small subunit ribosomal RNA", at positions 26 to 517 of the family's 1533-position model. The record is from RNAcentral.